AAUGGCUCAUUAAAUCAGUUAUCGUUUAUUUGAUAGUACCUUACUACUUGGAUAACCGUGGUAAUUCUAGAGCUAAUACAUGCUAAAAACCCCAACUUACGAAGGGGUGUAUUUAUUAGAUAAAAAACCAAUGCCCUUCGGGGCCCCCUGGUGAUUCAUAAUAACUUAACGAAUCGCAUGGCCUUGCGCCGGCGAUGGUUCAUUCAAAUUUCUGCCCUAUCAACUUUCGAUGGUUGUGUAGUGGACAACCAUGGUAUCAACGGGUGACGGGGAAUUAGGGUUCUAUUCCGGAGAGGGAGCCUGAGAAACGGCUACCACAUCCAAGGAAGGCAGCAGGCGCGCAAAUUACCCAAUCCCAAUACGGGGAGGUAGUGACAAUAAAUACUGAUACAGGGCUCUUUUGGGUCUUGUAAUUGGAAUGAGUACAAUUUAAAUCCCUUAACGAGGAACAAUUGGAGGGCAAGUCUGAGGCCAGCAGCCGCGGUAAUUCCAGCUCCAAUAGCGUAUAUUAAAGUUGUUGCAGUUAAAAAGCCCGUAAACGAGCCUUGGGCCUGGCUGGCCGGUCCGCCUCACCGCGUGUACUGGUCCGGCCGGGCCUUUCCUUCUGGGGAGCCGCAUGCCCUUUACUGGGCGUGUCGGGGAACCAGGACUUUUACUUUGAAAAAAUUAGAGUGUUCAAAGCAGGCCUUUGCUCGGAUACAUUAGCAUGGAAUAAUAGAAUAGGACGUGUGGUUCUAUUUUGUUGGUUUCUAGAACCGCCGUAAUGAUUAAUAGGGAUAGUCGGGGGCAUCAGUAUUCAAUUGUCAGAGGUGAAAUUCUUGGAUUUAUUGAAGACUAACUACUGCGAAAGCAUUUGCCAAGGAUGUUUUCAUUAAUCAGUGAACGAAAGUUAGGGGAUCGAAGACGAUCAGAUACCGUCGUAGUCUUAACCAUAAACUAUGCCGACUAGGGAUCGGGCGAUGUUAUCAUUUUGACUCGCUCGGCACCUUACGAGAAAUCAAAGUUUUUGGGUUCUGGGGGGAGUAUGGUCGCAAGGCUGAAACUUAAAGAAAUUGACGGAAGGGCACCACCAGGCGUGGAGCCUGCGGCUUAAUUUGACUCAACACGGGGAAACUCACCAGGUCCAGAUUUGACGAGGAUUGACAGAUUGAUAGCUCUUUCUUGAUUUCAAAGGUGGUGGUGCAUGGCCGUUCUUAGUUGGUGGAGGUGAUUUGUCUGCUUAAUUGCGAUAACGAAGCGAGACCUUAACCUGCUAAAUAGCCAGGCCAGCUUUGGCUGGUCGCCGGCUUCUAGAGGGACAUCUGUCACGCCCUAU
This 1315-nucleotide ribosomal RNA is filed under the name Patellaria cf. atrata BCC 28876. RNAcentral's name for it is "partial 18S small subunit ribosomal RNA". It matches the Rfam family "Eukaryotic small subunit ribosomal RNA", at positions 92 to 1431 of the family's 1831-position model. Lineage: Eukaryota; Fungi; Ascomycota; Dothideomycetes; Patellariales; Patellariaceae. The record is from RNAcentral.